UACAGAGGUCCCGAGCGUUGUUCGGAUUCACUGGGCGUAAAGGGUGCGUAGGUGGUUAGGUAAGUCCGAUGUGAAAUCUCCAGGCUCAACCUGGAAAUGGCAUUGGAUACUAUUUAGCUUGAGGAGUGGAGGGGGGACUGGAAUUCUCGGUGUAGCAGUGAAAUGCGUAGAUAUCGAGAGGAACACCAGUGGCGAAGGCGAGUCCCUGGACACUUCCUGACACUGAGGCAUGAAAGCUAGGGGAGCAAACAGG
RNAcentral lists this ribosomal RNA (253 nucleotides) under uncultured bacterium. RNAcentral describes it as "partial 16S ribosomal RNA". It matches the Rfam family "Bacterial small subunit ribosomal RNA", at positions 524 to 776 of the family's 1533-position model. The record is from RNAcentral.